This 252-nucleotide ribosomal RNA is filed under the name uncultured bacterium. Its description in RNAcentral is "partial 16S ribosomal RNA". It matches the Rfam family "Bacterial small subunit ribosomal RNA", at positions 524 to 776 of the family's 1533-position model. The record is from RNAcentral.
UACGUAGGCAGCAAGCGUUGUUCGGAAUUACUGGGCGUAAAGAGUGCGUAGGUGGUUGGCUAAGUUUGGUGUGAAAUCUCCCGCUUAACUGGGAGGGUGCGCCGAAAACUGGUUGACUAGAGUGUGGGAGAGGGACGUGGAAUUCCUGGUGUAGCGGUGAAAUGCGUAGAUAUCAGGAGGAACACCUGCGGUGUAGACGGCGUCCUGGACCAUGACUGACACUGAGGCACGAAAGCGUGGGGAGCAAACAGG